Molecule: long non-coding RNA, 535 nt
Organism: Oxyura jamaicensis (ruddy duck)
Lineage: Eukaryota; Metazoa; Chordata; Aves; Anseriformes; Anatidae
Exons: 3
Source: RefSeq, a predicted model, not a curated record
CGCAUCUGGUGCCGAAUGAGUCAGUGGAGGGAGAAAGCACCAGUAUCCCCCAGUUGCUAGGAGACAAGCGGGGAGAUCCUGACCUGAAUUCUUAGCGCAGGCUGAUGUUGCUCGGGGAGCUUAGCCGGGUCUCUCCUGGAAAGGCAGGGAAAAGUUACUCCUGGGUUUGCAGAGGCAACAGGAUGAAAAUAAGCAGCUCCUAGGAUGAAAAGGCACCUGUCAUGAAAACUGGGAGCGCAUAUGCAAAAACUGGGGAGAAAGCAGAAGAAACCACCCAGCACGCACUUGGCCUCAACAUUAACAGAUGAAAUGACAGAAGGUUAAACAUGCAAACCCAAGCAAUUAAGGUUGUCCCAGACAUCUGUACUACAAAGAGUACUCUAAGCCAAACUCAUAACCCAGAAAACAGAACAGAAGCAAGUCAGGAAAGGCACCCAAGAACGAUGUCUCCAAUCCAUUUUGCUGGCUUAUGGAAGACAAUAUGAAAAUAAUACUAUAAACCUUUUCCUCCUGCUCCCUCUUCUCCCAGGUAAAU